ACACCUCUCUUCCGGCUGGAGCAGCCUGACCAAGUCCCACUUGCUGUUCUGCCAGGGAGCCUGAUUUUGGCACUGGUGUAUUUCCAGAACCAAGGUUGAUCCUUCUAGUCUCGUGGCAGAACUUUGUAGACACCAAGCGAGCGGGGCAGCGUGUUCUGGACCUCAUUCCUCACACAGGGCUCACCUCCGGAUGAGUCAGAGGCCUUAGCCGGUGGCCCAGCCCCGGGAAUGCCACCCCGGUUCUGUACCCUGCCCAGGCCAGCUGACAGGGUGUAUUGGGGCACACACCUGCAGCAUCCAGGGCACUCCAAGGAGAGGGACGUACUUUUGAGGAGAGUCUAAAAGUCUAAGUCCCCCACCUGAACUUGGUGGGGGAAGGGCUUCUAUACCAGGAGGGCUCCCAGCCCUGUUUCUUAAAGGCCAUUUAGGCAGAAGUGAACGUGGUCUCUUCAAUAAAGUUAAUAAUGGUUCAUGCUGCA
This 479-nucleotide long non-coding RNA is filed under the name Homo sapiens (human). RNAcentral's name for it is "long intergenic non-protein coding RNA 2323". The record is from RNAcentral. Lineage: Eukaryota; Metazoa; Chordata; Mammalia; Primates; Hominidae.